Molecule: ribosomal RNA, 253 nt
Filed under: uncultured bacterium
Lineage: Bacteria
Description: partial 16S ribosomal RNA
Rfam family: Bacterial small subunit ribosomal RNA
Source: RNAcentral
UACGGGGGGGGCAAGCGUUGUUCGGAAUUACUGGGCGUAAAGGGCUCGUAGGCGGCCAACUAAGUCGAACGUGAAAUCCCUCGGCUUAACCGGGGAACUGCGUCUGAUACUGGAUGGCUUGAGUUCGGGAGAGGGAUGCGGAAUUCCAGGUGUAGCGGUGAAAUGCGUAGAUAUCUGGAGGAACACCGGUGGCGAAGGCGGCAUCCUGGACCGAUACUGACGCUGAGGAGCGAAAGCCAGGGGAGCAAACGGG